UGGCUCUCGCAACGAUGAAGAACGCAGCGAAAUGCGAUACGUAAUGUGAAUUGCAGAAUUUAGUGAAUCAUCGAAUCUUUGAACGCAUCUUGCGCUUCUUGGUAUUCCAGGAAGCAUGCCUGUUUGAGCCUCAGUUGCAUCUCACAACUUGUGUGGACGUGAGCGUUUCGUAUACGCGAUCGCUUUAAACGCAUAAGGCUGGCCUCGAAUGCGGACACGGCUUGCUUGCUAAUAUCUUACGAUUUACUAGCAAAGUGUUCCGGCUUACAUUCGAGUGAUACGGCUCAACGUCAACCGCCUCGCGGCGAUCUGACACCUUGAGCUCAAAUCAGGCAAGACUACCCGCUGA
This 349-nucleotide unclassified non-coding RNA is filed under the name uncultured fungus. RNAcentral describes it as "partial contains 5.8S ribosomal RNA and internal transcribed spacer 2". The stretch from base 1 to 133 matches the Rfam family "5.8S ribosomal RNA", at positions 22 to 154 of the family's 154-position model. Lineage: Eukaryota; Fungi. The record is from RNAcentral.